Molecule: long non-coding RNA, 485 nt
Filed under: Helianthus annuus (common sunflower)
Lineage: Eukaryota; Viridiplantae; Streptophyta; Magnoliopsida; Asterales; Asteraceae
Source: RNAcentral
UGUUUGUUGUUAUAAUUUUCAGUCAACCUUCAUUGAUGAACUGCCGAAGUAGAGAGACUGCAUUUCGUCUUGGGGUGCACACAAAUGGGGUAAAUGUAUAAUGUUUAUGCCAAGAAAGCGCGAUAUCGAUCGGUUGGCAUAACGCGAUAUAUGUCAAGACCAGCGGUAGAAAAUGCUAUUGGGCUUUAGAGACGGUCGUUUCAAUGUUUUAGUAGCCACUGAUAUUUCUACUCACGGACUUGAUGUUCCUAAUGUUGAUAUGGCUAGGCUGGAAAGAAAGGAAGACCAUUUUAAUUCAUUCGUCUUAGCAAUCGUCUGAGGUGAAGGGAUCCAAGCACAAAGUAGGAUGCAAAUUUUUGAAGGUACAAUAGAUGAUGAUAUUUGAUGAUGAUAUUGAUGCAUGCUCACAUAGGAUUGGACGAGGCCUUAGUGACAUUAAAAGAUGCAAGACUAGUUAAUUUUUGUUAUGUUUCUUUAUUGUUAAG